GACGAACGCUGGCGGCGUGCUUAACACAUGCAAGUCGAGCGGAAAGACGAGGAGUUUGCUCCGCUGACGUUAGCGGCGCACGGGUGAGUAACAUGUGGAUACCCCACCUAUCAGACUGGGAUAACUUCGGGAAACCGGCUCUAAUCCCGUAGAAUCUCUUGAUCCGUAUGGUUCAAUAGUAAGUGACGGUUUUGGUGUAACUUCUAGCUGGAUCCGCGCCGCUUUAGCUGGUUGGUAAGGUAACGGCUUACGAGGGCAACCAUGCGUAGCCGACCGGGUAGGGUGAUCGGCCACACUGGAAGUGAGACGGGGUCCAGAGGCCUGCGGUAGGCACCAGUAGGGAAUCGGCCGCAAUGGGGGAAAACCUGACGGAGCGGGGCCGCGUGUGUGAUGAAGGUCUCCGGAUCGGAAAACUCUGUUUUUGGUGGAGAACAAAUGUGGAAGGAACUAUGCACGGAUUGACGGUACCUAAUCAGAAAGCAACGGCUAACUACGUG
Molecule: ribosomal RNA, 497 nt
Filed under: uncultured bacterium
Lineage: Bacteria
Description: partial 16S ribosomal RNA
Rfam family: Bacterial small subunit ribosomal RNA
Source: RNAcentral